CAAAAAAUAGUUUAAGUUAUAAGAAUACUAGUUUUGGGGACUAGUGAUGGGAAGUAUUUCUCUUUUUUGA
Molecule: non-coding RNA, 70 nt
Organism: Eublepharis macularius
Lineage: Eukaryota; Metazoa; Chordata; Lepidosauria; Squamata; Eublepharidae
Source: the annotation of a RefSeq genome assembly